Molecule: long non-coding RNA, 1639 nt
Organism: Equus caballus (horse)
Lineage: Eukaryota; Metazoa; Chordata; Mammalia; Perissodactyla; Equidae
Source: Ensembl
GGUGUUAAGCCCCACUGUGACCCUUUUCCACAAAGCUCAUCACUCACAGUCUGUUUCCAAGUGUUUUUUCCCCCUGUCCUUUGUUCAUGUUUAAACUGAGAGAAAAGUGGACUAAGUCUGCUGUCUUGAUACCAUGCUGCUUGCAAAUGAGCAUUGACGUAUUCUCUUUGGUUAGAAUUUUUGGACAAGUAGCUGAACAGGGAGUCUUAACUGAGUCACUCUGAAAGGAACACUAAGGAUGGCUUUAAUUAUUAAAAAAAAGUGUACAUUCUGGGGAAUUAUUUAAGACACUCGUUUAAAAAGUGUUUUGCAAAUGAUUGUUCAUUUCAUGCUAUCUUCCCCUUCUGGUUUUCUUGGGCCGUGGGUUAGAGAAUCCAAGCUGGUAGUAAAUUGACUUAAUGACUUCAGCCCUAUUUAGUAGAGUAGCUGAUCACAAAGAGGUUAUUCCAACAGUCUACAAAACUGACCACUUGGUAAUAUCUCAUGGGAAAAUACUUGUCAGCAUCAAUGCUACCAGUCAAAACCAAAAUGAGAACAUCUGGAGUCUGCUUCUUGGUUGUAAAGAAAUAGUAAGAGUUGGAUGUUCUUUUUUUUUUUUCCCCCUAAUUAUGCUUAUUCACCAAAAGUUGCUUGCCAGAUUGAAAGAUGAAUGUAAGUCAAGAACAGAGCAAGGAUUAACAGGAUGGUUUUUUCCAUCAAGCUAAAUCAGUUGCCAACAAGAGGAACUAUUUAACCUGGAGGAGACUGGGGUUAAUACCAAAAAAACAAAAAAGGAUAUUUUAGGAGAAAAAAAUUAUGCAGUCAUGCAUCACUUAGCAGGGAUACAUUCUGAGAAAUGCAUUGUUAGGCGAUUUUGUCAUUGUGCAAACAUCAUAAAGCAUACCAAAGGGGAACAAAAUUUGACACCCCAAAAUGUGUCUCUUUAACAUGAGAAUUACUUUAGCAUGAUUAUUUUUAAAAAACAACAGACUCAAAAAGUUUUUCUGGUUACCUCUCCCUUAACUGCCUAAAAGAAUUCAAAUUAAAAAAAAACUGUCUCAGGAAGCAAGCUAUCACCUUAGCAUGACAUGAACUAGGUACUGGGACACUGGGGGAGCGCCUAGAAAAGCCUGUUUGUUGGGCUCCCUUCUGUGUUCUUCUGUUUCUUUUUUUUAAGAUUGGCACCUGGCCUAAUAUCUAUUGACAGUCUUUUUUUCCCUUUCUCCCCAAAGCCCCCCAGUACAUAGUUGUAUAUUCUAGUUGUGAGUGCCUCUGGUUGUGCUAUGUGGGACGCUGCCUCAGUGUGGCCUGAUGAGCAGUGCCAUCUCUGGGCCCAGGAUCCGAACUGGCAAAACCCCGGGCCGCCAAAGCAGAGCGUGCAAACUUAACCACUCGGCCACAGGGCUAGCCCCCUGUUCUUCUGUUUCUGUGUGGCCAAACACUUGUUUUCCAAACAUUUGCUCCUUUUCACCUACCUGUGAGAACUGCCUUCCCCUUCCCUCUGAAGUCCCUGACUAUCCCUACCCCCCACAUCUUCUUCUGUCUUUAGCUGAGGAUGGCAUUUAAGGUGAGGGCUUUGGCCAUUUUGGCAAAUUACUCAGUUUUCCUAGGUCUCUCCCAUGUAUACAUAUUAUUAAACUUCUGUUUGUUUUUCUCCUGU